CCUUAACCUGCUAAAUAGACCCCCUGCCUUCUGGGGAGGGGCUGUCUUCUUAGAGGGACUAUCGGCGUUUAGCCGAUGGAAGUUUGAGGCAAUAACAGGUCUGUGAUGCCCUUAGACGUUCUGGGCCGCACGCGUGCUACACUGACCGAGCCAGCGAGUCCUUUCCUUGGCCGGAAGGCCUGGGUAAUCUUGUGAAACUCGGUCGUGAUGGGGAUAGAGCAUUGCAAUUAUUGCUCUUCAACGAGGAAUGCCUAGUAAGCGCAAGUCAUCAGCUUGCGUUGAUUACGUCCCUGGUCUUUGUACACACCGCCCGUCGCUACUACCGAUUGAAUGGCUUAGUGAGGCCUUCGGACUGGCUUUCGGGGUCGGCAACGACAUCUGAUCGCUGGAAAGUUGAACGAACUUGGUCAUUUAGAGGAAGUAAAAGUCG
This 430-nucleotide ribosomal RNA is filed under the name Platygloeales sp. Its description in RNAcentral is "SSU rRNA". It matches the Rfam family "Eukaryotic small subunit ribosomal RNA", at positions 1341 to 1791 of the family's 1831-position model. Lineage: Eukaryota; Fungi; Basidiomycota; Pucciniomycetes; Platygloeales. The record is from RNAcentral.